Molecule: ribosomal RNA, 497 nt
Filed under: uncultured bacterium
Lineage: Bacteria
Description: partial 16S ribosomal RNA
Rfam family: Bacterial small subunit ribosomal RNA
Source: RNAcentral
GAUGAACGCUGGCGGCGUGCCUAAUACAUGCAAGUCGAGCGAACGGACGAGAAGCUUGCUUCUCUGAUGUUAGCGGCGGACGGGUGAGUAACACGUGGAUAACCUACCUAUAAGACUGGGAUAACUUCGUGAAACCGGAGCUAAUACCGGAUAAUAUUUUGAACCGCAUGGUUCAAAAGUGAAAGACGGUCUUGCUGUCACUUAUAGAUGGAUCCGCGCUGCAUUAGCUAGUUGGUAAGGUAACGGCUUACCAAGGCAACGAUGCAUAGCCGACCUGAGAGGGUGAUCGGCCACACUGGAACUGAGACACGGUCCAGACUCCUACGGGAGGCAGCAGUAGGGAAUCUUCCGCAAUGGGCGAAAGCCUGACGGAGCAACGCCGCGUGAGUGAUGAAGGUCUUCGGAUCGUAAAACUCUGUUAUUAGGGAAGAACAUAUGUGUAAGUAACUGUGCACAUCUUGACGGUACCUAAUCAGAAAGCAACGGCUAACUACGUG